Long non-coding RNA from Gorilla gorilla gorilla (western lowland gorilla), 475 nucleotides. RefSeq lists it as uncharacterized. NCBI's taxonomy places the organism in Eukaryota, Metazoa, Chordata, Mammalia, Primates, Hominidae. The record is from RefSeq and is a predicted model, not a curated record. The transcript has 2 exons.
GGAACCACCACAGCCUGGGCCCGCGGGAGGGGACGGGACGCCACGACCCGUGGGGCGGCAGCCGCCGCCUCAAGACCCUCGCCGCCGCCAGGGGUGUCACUUCUUCUCGAGGAGCCUCCCACCCUGCCACACAGCACUGCAGCGCUGCCCUCCGCAGGACAAAACUGCCCCGCAACCCUCCCGGGCCGCGGGAGGGGCUCCAGGGCCUUCAGAACACCACUCCCACUAUCACCCCAGAGGGUGAACUGCGGGCAAAAAGAAAAAAAAAACCAACAUCUAUGAACAGGGAAGUUUGUUUUCCCAGAAGGUGGAGGAGGAUGAAGAAGAAAGGCAAAAUAAAAACAGAAACCUGCCCGUAAUCCCAGCACUUUGGCAGGCAGAGGCGGGCAGAUCACCUGAAGUCAGGAGUUCGAGACCAGCCUGGCCUACGUGGCGAAACCCCCAUCUUUACUAAAAAUAAAAAAAAAUUAUCUGA